GGGGAGGAGGCACCAUAGAGUCCAUGCCCAACCUAAUUUUAGGCAUCUCAAAAUUUUCAAAAAAUACUCUUUGGUGUAAGGAAGAGAUCUGAUAUCUCACACACCCAAAAACACAUCAUAGAAAUUAAGAAAAAAUCAUUAGGCAUCAAAAAACCUUCUUUCUUUGAAAAAUCUCUUUCCUUCUUAUCACCUUAUCUCUAAUUCGGAUCGUAUUCGAAUUAGGCAAGA
Molecule: long non-coding RNA, 228 nt
Filed under: Elaeis guineensis (African oil palm)
Lineage: Eukaryota; Viridiplantae; Streptophyta; Magnoliopsida; Arecales; Arecaceae
Description: long non-coding RNA (EGUI_LNC078043)
Source: RNAcentral